This 253-nucleotide ribosomal RNA is filed under the name uncultured bacterium. RNAcentral's name for it is "partial 16S ribosomal RNA". It matches the Rfam family "Bacterial small subunit ribosomal RNA", at positions 524 to 776 of the family's 1533-position model. The record is from RNAcentral.
UACGUAUGGGGCAAGCGUUAUCCGGAUUUACUGGGUGUAAAGGGAGCGCAGGCGGCCUGGCAAGCCUGAUGUGAAAUACCGGGGCCCAACCCCGGGGCUGCAUUGGGAACUGCCAGGCUGGAGUGCCGGAGAGGCAGGCGGAAUUCCUAGUGUAGCGGUGAAAUGCGUAGAUAUUAGGAGGAACACCAGUGGCGAAGGCGGCCUGCUGGACGGUGACUGACGCUGAGGCUCGAAAGCGUGGGGAGCAAACAGG